GAUGAACGCUGGCGGCGUGCCUAACACAUGCAAGUCGAACGGAAAGGCGCUGCUUUUGUGCGGUGCUCGAGUGGCGAGCGGGUGAGUCACACGUGAGUAACCUGCCCUUGACUUUGGGGUAACUUCAGGAAACCGGGGCUCAUAUACGAUAUAAGCUCCUGCUCCGUGGUGGGGAUUGGAAAGUUUCGGCGGUUCGGGAUGGGCUGGCGGCUUAUCAGCUUGUUGGAGGGGUAGUGGAUGACCAAGUCUUGUACGGGUAGCCGGCCUGAGAGGGGGAACGGCGACAAUGGGACUGAGGGACGGCCCAGACGGGUACGUGAGGCAGAAGGGGGGAAUAUUGCACAAUGGGCGGACGUGAGAGGCAGCAACGCUGCGGGCGGGAAGACGGCUUUCGGGGGGUAAACAGCUUUCGCCUGUAACGAAGCGGGAGUGACGGUAACGGGUAAAGAAGCACCGGCUAACUACGUG
This 468-nucleotide ribosomal RNA is filed under the name uncultured bacterium. RNAcentral's name for it is "partial 16S ribosomal RNA". It matches the Rfam family "Bacterial small subunit ribosomal RNA", at positions 28 to 507 of the family's 1533-position model. The record is from RNAcentral.